Molecule: long non-coding RNA, 4430 nt
Organism: Tympanuchus pallidicinctus (lesser prairie-chicken)
Lineage: Eukaryota; Metazoa; Chordata; Aves; Galliformes; Phasianidae
Exons: 3
Source: RefSeq, a predicted model, not a curated record
UGUGCCCUGCCAUGUUACAACACUGCACUCAUGUGCUCUCGCUGCCUCACUCAUACAGACAUACACACAGUACCGCGGCACCAAGAGCGCUCACACACAGAACAGCGGCAGGACGGAAACUGGAAGUGUGGUUUUGCCCUUUUGAGGAGGUUUUGCUUUCCACAGGAGCUCUGGAAAAGAGAUGGGACACUCAGGGCUGCAGUGACAGUAGCAUAGUAACCUGGAGGUCACAACUGCAAGGUGUGAAUAAGAAGCUCUCCGAUAAAGAUGCUGGAGAAAACUGGACAUACCUGUGCUGCAUGUCAACACAUUCUAUGAAGCUGAAUGAAACUACUGCGCUAGGACAUGCUCUGGAAGUGCCUGUUCUCUCCACUGACUGCAAAGACAAUGUAACGUGAAUCAUUCAGGUACAGAUAUGGUAUUCCAAGCUGUAAAUAUAUCAAAUUAGAGGAGGUGAAUUUCACUCCCAGUCUCUUACUGCCUCAUUGAUUAGGAAACAAGUGUAAAUAAUUUGGCACCCGUUUAAUGAAUGCUUCACUUCCUUGAGUACAUGCUCCAACCCUGGAUGAAGAGACCUUAGGGAGCUAUCUUUUGUUUACAGGCUCAGCUGGUGUUUUGAAAAGGGAAAUAUUAAAUUAGGUGUAUUUCCAGGAGAGUCUGCUGUUGAGAUUGAUCAAAGGUAUCACAAGGCACAGAGAAAAGGGUUAAGUACAUAAGCCUUCAUGGGACAGACUGAACAGAGAGGACAGCCAGCCAGUUGUGAUUACUAUUAAAGAGAAUCUUCUGGAGAGGGAAUCAGCUAAGAUUUUUAGGGAAGAUUUAAGCUGAGUGCAGCACCUGCUCAGGGGGCGGACAAGAAUUAAAUAAUAAAUGAAAAUAAUGCCAGGUCUCCUCUUUCUAUUGAAAGAGGAGCGAAAAUAAAGGGUGCAAACAAAGCUACAACUUUCCUAGGAACUUCUCAUUAUACUAAUUAUGGAAGGACUGGUUUCUCUCUCCUUGUAAGCACAUGAUCUUCCUGUUUCUGAUUAGGCCUGUCAUGUCAAGACUUCUGCACAUGAUGAAUUUGAAGCAUGGGAUACUCCAUUGGCUCCUAUGGGACUGUACACAUCCAGAAAGUUAAACGAAUGCACAAACAUUUACAAUGGCCACGGCCUGCAGAUGUAAACUGAUGGGGUUCUGAAACGUUACGUAUGUACUUCCUAUAGUCACUGAAAAAACAUAACCAGAAUCCUAAGACAUUUAAAUUAUACCACAAGAAAGAGUAAAUAGUAAAUACAGCUGUGAAAAUACGCAUGCUGUUGAAAUAUCAAACUGGAAUACAAUGCCACACUUAAAGCCAUAUGCAUCAUUUAAAGUCUAGUACACUGCCAGCAAGUGAGAAGUUAUGGCUUUUGCAGUGAAAAAAAAGUAAGUGGUUAUAAAACAUUAGGUUUGCAGUAGACAGGGACUGUUUUUUCAUGAAGCACUGGUACUUCAGUUAGCAAACAUUCUCUCGGGGUGCUGGUGGUUUGCUUGAGGCAUUGUGUCUAUAUUGCCUUGCAUGGCAGGAACUCCAAUCAACCUGUCCAUCACAGUAAGGUUACAGAUUAUUACAGAUUACACAGUGCUUUAUAAACAGUUUACAGCAGAAAAAAAAAAGCAAAUGCUCUACUAGAAACAGGAGCCAUGUGCAUGUCCAAUUGUUUGUUCUGAGAUGCAGAUGUUUAUAAUAGCAAGAAAAAGUUUAGCAAUGAACAAACCAAAGACGGACUGUUUGCUGCAAUUUAAAAAAAAAAUGUAUCAAUGAAGCAUGAGGUCAGUGUUUAGUUCUGCUUGCAAUGACUGAAACCUCCUAGGAGCAACGUUUGGAGAUGCUUAUGGGAAAACUUAUGUUUAAGAACAGAUUAGUUGGUAGAUUAUUAGCUUAGUACACAGCAGAUGUGGGUACUUGUUUUUGAGAAGGAUGCAAAAUGCCGAAGCAGAGAUUUCCUGAGCACAUUUGAAAUAACAUGGGCAUAGGUAAUGACCAAGUGGCACCCUGAUACUUCUCUUUUCCAUAGAAAUUCAGAGUAAUACCCACACCCACACUUUCGUGGCCUGGGAUCUAUCACAGCUGCCAGGUUGUCCUCUCUGCUAUUUGUGCCCCUGAUUUUCUUCUCUAGGUAUAGGUAAAAACACCCUGGAGAUCCUUGAAAAACAGGUGCAACAUGAGGGAAAACGAUUUAUCUACCUUUUAUCAUAAAAUGAUAGAAUGGCCUCAAUUGAAAAAGACCACAAUGAUCAUCUAGUUUCAACCCCCCUGCUAUGUGCAGGAUUGCCAACUACUAGACCAGGCUGCCCAGAGCCACAUCCAGCCUGGCUCUGAGUGUCCUACCAUCUGUAUCCAGUUUACAGAUGAAGCUAAAUUCUGCUGUGGGCUACAAUGACUAGGGCACAAAUUCCCAGCAGAGCUGCAGGAGGAAUCAUAACCAUGUAACCCUGGUAGCCUGGAAUAAGAAAAAGUAAUCACUGUAGCAAAAUCCAGCUACCACUGUAAUGGAGCAGCAUGGAGUAGGCAUUCCCACCCCUUAGGGCUUGAUAUAAAUUUUGAAGAAAGUAUGCAUUACUGCCCAAUAAAUCAGAAUUGAAGUUUUAAAGAGCAAGCCCUUUAGAAGAGACUUCUUUGCUUAAAAAUCACAGAAAAGGGGGAAAAAACAAACAAACAAACAACAAAAACCUGAAGUAAUGGCAGUUUAACUCCUGCAGCUCAGUGAUAAACUAAAUAAUUAUCUAAGAGGAAAUGAGUCUCUAAAUAUAUGAUCAGAAAGAAAACUUAUUUUUGCAGGAAGAAACUGGUGAUUGCUUUCCAAGAAAAUUUAAAAGCUGCUUUGAAAAAAUAAAAGCUACCAUAUGUGAUGAUAGUAUUAAAGAAAAACAGAACCUCAAGGACAGAUUAAGAACAUUUACUUUCCUUUCACAUAAACACACACACACACACUCUCCCAUAUACGCUCUCCAUUAAUGACUGAUGUUUACUGAAAGUCAUUUCAAUAAAUCUGUCUCCCUUCCUAUCUAAAAACUUUGAUCCUCAAAUGCAAACCCAAUUCUAGCACUGAUCAUUAAGGAAUCUGAGACGGCCGUGCCCAAGCACCUCUGCAGAAACAACUGCAGCUGUUUAAAGAUACUACCGCUACUCAGCUGUUUGGUGCUGCUUCUCACCCCACCCACACAUACAUAUAUAUAUAUAUAUCAAUCAUAUAUAGGUCAUUUGGGAAUUCCUCAUAUGCUUCAGUGCACAGGCAGCUGGGGCGGUGUAAUCUGCUUCUGCAAUGCUUGUCUGACUGUGCUCUUGGUGAGCAGGAUCUGACUCAUUCAGCUCAAGGUUACCACAGUGGGUAACACCAGAUCUUUUGCACCACCCGUGCUGGCUCUCUACUUCAAGCCUUUUUUCCCAAGGAGUUAUUUAGAGGCUCCUCUCAGAGAGUAGAAAUUCAAGCAAUUUUCUAUACUUCUUUCUCAUAGCCCUUAUUCAGCUGUAAGCAGAUUCACCACAGAAAGUUCAUGCAAACCAUUUUUUAAGCUGCACUAAAGCUCGAUGGAGAGACUGACACAAACAUGUUAAAAAUUACAGAGAAUUGCGUUGUCAUACAAACUGAUCUGAGCAACAAUGAAACACAGUAGGAUCUGCAUGACAUAUUGGAAGGGAGAUGCUAACUCUACUCUGUCCAACAAAAGGUGCCCAAAACUGGAAACAUUUUCCCACUGCAGAAAGUGUUACAGGAAAUUUUGCUUACCUGCUGAAGGGAGAAGAAAACAGGACUGAAUAACUGAUAGCGAAGACUCCGUAGCAGGUAUCCAAGAAUCACAUGAAAACUCUUGACAGGUGAUAUAAUUUGGUUAAAAAAUUCAUCCCCUUGUAAAAAAGGCAGCUCUGCAAUAAAGAGAUGAACAAAAAGUAGCAUCGCACAUACUGUUAUUCUAGGAAUUGUUUCUCCAUUGUGCACUAAUAACCUCACACACAUCACAAACAGAAGUGAAACAACUGCAAUACUCAGUUCACAUAUCUCAUAUCACAUAUCACUGAUAUAAGUAAACAUUUCUUUAAUUUUCCCUUCCCUGCUUCGUUUUCCUUGAGAGGGAACCAACGCAUUGACACCAGCUCUAAGCGCUGUGUUUAUCACCGAAGUGGAGAAGCCACUUUCCAUUAGCAUACGCACUGCAAGCAGUUCUGCAUCCCAGAACAAAAGAAAGGUUUGAAAUAAGCUUCAUAGUCUGCAAUGAUCACCACCUUUGGAGAGAAGCUGUCCUGUAAGACCUGGAAAAGUAUUACAUGCCUCAAUUAAAAAUAAUGGAAAUUCUUGCUUUAGGGCUUCAAAUAAAGGUUGUAAUGUCUGUCUGCCCGUCCACAGCUGGUCUUGAAGUGAGAUGCUUACAAACACAAUAAACAACCCUAGAGUGGAUAUCUUCCUGCA